GCAAAACUCCUAGCCCGAACAACAAAACAUCUCAACAAAUAAGACUUAUCCCACCCCACUUAAAACUAAAACAUUCUACCAUCCAAGUAUAGGUGAUAGAAAAGAUAAUUGGAGCAAUAAAGAUAGUACCGCAAGGGAAAAAUGAAAAACAUGAAACAUUCACUAAGCCAAAAAAAGCAAAGAUCAACCCUUGUACCUCCUGCAUCAUGAUUUAGCAAGUACAUUUAAGCAAAGAGAACUAAAGUUUAAACCCCCGAAACUAAGUGAGCUACUUAAAGACAGCCUACAACACAAAAGCUAACUCCGUCUCUGUGGCAAAAGAGUGGACAGAUCUAUAAGUAGAAGUGAAAAGCCUAACGAACUUAGUAAUAGCUGGUUGCUCGACAAAAGAAUAUAAGUUCAACCUUAAAUCUCCUAAAAACAACUAAAAGUUAUUCACGAAAGACUUAAGAUAUAUUCAAUUGAGGUACAGCUCAAUUGAAAAAGGAUACAACCUAAAAUGAAGAACAAGACAUCACAAUAUAACACUAGUAGGACUUAAAGCAACCAUCACUAAAGAAAGCGUCAAAGCUCAUUAAUAACUAAUAUUAACAGUAAUCUUUUUCCCACCCAGCAUCGAGCCAUUCUACCCUUAUAGAAGAACAAAUGCUAAAAUUAGUAACAAGAAGGUAAAACCUUCUCUAAUGCGCUAGCUUAAAUCACAAUAAAUACCUUACUGAUUAUUAACAGUUAACUAUAACACUAAAAAUACCUAAAACAAAUAUAUAAACCAAACUGUUAACCCAACACAGGAGCGCAUAUAAGAAAGAUUAAAAUUUGUAAAAGGAACUAGGCAAACAAAGAACCCGACUGUUUACCAAAAACAUAACCCCUAGCAAUAACAAGUAUUAGGGGCAAUGCCUGCCCAGUGAUAUAUUAAACGGCCACGGUAUCCUAACCGUGCAAAGGUAGCGUAAUCACUUGUCUUUUAAAUAAAGACUAGAAUGAAUGGCUAAACGAGGUUCUAUCUGUCUCUUACAAACAAUCAGUGAAAUUGAUCUUCCUGUGCAAAAGCAGAAAUAACUAUAUAAGACGAGAAGACCCUGUGGAACUUCAAAUAUCCAUCAACUAGUAACAAUAUAUACCUAUAGGUUCAUAAUCACACGCACUGAUACGUAUUUUGGGUUGGGGCGACCUCGGAGUAUAACAAAACCUCCGAAGACAGAACACAAAUUCUACACCUAGAUCUACAGUUCAAAGUGCCUACGGCAAAAAGAUCCAAUAUAAUUGAUCAACGAACCAAGCUACCCCAGGGAUAACAGCGCAAUCCCAUCUCAGAGCCCUUAUCAAUGAUGGGGUUUACGACCUCGAUGUUGGAUCAGGACAUCCUAAUGGCGCAGCCGCUAUCAAGGGUUCGUUUGUUCAACGAUUAAUAGUCCUACGUGAUCUGAGUUCAGACCGGAGCAAUCCAGGUCGGUUUCUAUCUAUAUAUGGGCCUUUUCUAGUACGAAAGGAUUGAAAAGACAAAGUCCAUAAUAACGAUAAACCUUACCUUACAUUAGUGAAAAUAACUUAACUAACAAUAAGAACAAAAUAUUUCAGCCCUAUAAAAGGGCUUG
RNAcentral lists this ribosomal RNA (1598 nucleotides) under Sternotherus carinatus (Razorback musk turtle). RNAcentral's name for it is "16S ribosomal RNA". It matches the Rfam family "Bacterial large subunit ribosomal RNA". Lineage: Eukaryota; Metazoa; Chordata; Testudines; Kinosternidae. The record is from RNAcentral.